Molecule: long non-coding RNA, 287 nt
Filed under: Phoenix dactylifera (date palm)
Lineage: Eukaryota; Viridiplantae; Streptophyta; Magnoliopsida; Arecales; Arecaceae
Description: long non-coding RNA (PDAC_LNC000456)
Source: RNAcentral
GUUUCUGCAAAAUUCUUCCACAACAAAAUAAGAAGCAAAUGACUACGACAAAAAUAAAAAAUUCAGAUCUCCAUACAUUACACCUAAUCUCCAAAAUAUUUAGUCGAUGGCCACAUUACAAGUUCUUCUGUUGUGCCCAAGCUUUCCGCAACGUCCACAUUUUAUAUGACGUACUAACUCCCCUUGCGAAGGUCUUCUCUUUUUUUUUGGCCUACCUGGUCGAGUCUUUCUGAUUGGGGGUAAAAUAUGAAUCUCAUCUGAGGCACUAUAGGGCUCCUCGAUAUCAG